This is a small nucleolar RNA of Amphiprion ocellaris (clown anemonefish), 218 nucleotides long. Its record names the gene U3. It matches the Rfam family "Small nucleolar RNA U3". From Rfam's summary of the family: Small nucleolar RNAs (snoRNAs) are involved in the processing and modification of rRNA in the nucleolus. There are two main classes of snoRNAs: the box C/D class, and the box H/ACA class. U3 snoRNA is a member of the box C/D class. Lineage: Eukaryota; Metazoa; Chordata; Actinopteri; Pomacentridae. The record is from Ensembl.
AAGACUAUACUUUCAGGGAUCAUUUCUAUAGUUCCUAACUCGAGAAAUGUGUUUCUAAAGUGUAUGGUCUCGCCAACCACGAUGAUGAGGUGGUGAUACUCCUUUCUGAGCGAGAAGCGGGUGGAGAGAUUUGAUUUAUAUCAUAUCGCUCUCUGCUUUUGAUGAUCGUUCACUGUCUCUUCUGGGGAUAAUGAGGAAAGGAGUAUGAUCAGAGUGGU